RNAcentral lists this small RNA (885 nucleotides) under Oryza sativa Japonica Group (Japanese rice). RNAcentral describes it as "sRNA Os03g0345500". Lineage: Eukaryota; Viridiplantae; Streptophyta; Magnoliopsida; Poales; Poaceae. The record is from RNAcentral.
GAGGAACAUUCGGGCAAUCCUCCCAUUAGCGCCCUCCGGGUAGAACCCGCCGGGUACGUGCUCAUCGCCAGUUAGAUAGAGUAUCCUAAGCAACUCUGCCGGCGUUCGGCUGUAGGAGAGCGAGUCGACGUUGGCGGAGAGGAUGUUGGUGCAUAUCUUCCCCUCAGCGCCGAGCUGCUCUGGCACGAUGAGCCCCUCGUCCUUCACUCCGCACUGCCCUAGCUUGUUUCGCAGCGCCGACACACGGUCGGUGAGCUCUGCCACCGUGGCACCGUAGGGGGACACUGUCUCGCGGCGGUGCUCGAAGAGGAGGCCGCGCACGACGGCGUCCUGGCCAGACUCGACGGCGAGCAGGCCGGCGACGAGGCGCUUGGUGGCGUAGCCGUCGAUCAGCGGGUUGGUGCCCGUGUAGCCGUUGAUGCCCAGGUAAGGGAUGACGUAGACGGCCAGGAGGAAGUUGAGGCUGUUGGCGUCGGGGUCGAAGGGCGGGUCUAGGUGGUAGCCGACCGCCUCGUCCAUUACCCUGGCGAAGUUGUGUGCGCUCAGGUCUAUCAGCGGCCUUGGGAUCCCACCCACUGUCCUCUGGAUUGCCCUGCAUCGUGGCCGAUCUCCUGGUAGGCGAACUCGGCGCAGACGCGCCACGUGAGCUCGUCGAGGCCGGCCUUCCUGGCGCCCACCGGCGGCGGGCCGCCCAGCGUCAGGUUGGGGGCGAGGUGGUCCAGCCCCACGCCGAACGCCGCGUGCAGGAAGAACUCCGCCUCGGCGAACUCCAGGUUCAGCGCGAACCGCACCGGGUCCACGUCGUGCGCGAACACGGCCACCGGCGUGUGCGGCGCCGCCGCGCUGCACUGCGCCUCCCCGCCGCCGCCGCCGCCGACGCCGCCG